Pteronotus mesoamericanus is the source of this 164-nucleotide small nuclear RNA. RefSeq annotates it as U1 spliceosomal RNA. NCBI's taxonomy places the organism in Eukaryota, Metazoa, Chordata, Mammalia, Chiroptera, Mormoopidae. The record is from RefSeq and is a predicted model, not a curated record. The transcript has a single exon.
AUACUUACCUGGCAGGGGAGAUACAUGAUCACGAAGGUAGUUUUCCCAGGGUGAAACUUCCCCAUUGCACUACAGAUGUGCUGACCCCCUGAAAUCUCCCCAAAUGUGGGAAACUUGCUUGCAUAAUUUGUGGUAGUGGGGGACUGUGUUUGUGCUCUUCCCUG